AUUAGACUGAGCUGGGCCUGGAGGCUUGAGGUCCUGUCGACGAGGAGAGCGAUAUCUCAAUGUAUGAAUCUGUGGGUUUUCUGUGUGCCCUUGCAGCCCUGGGGACCCUCAUGGCCCUUGGUGAGCCCACACUGAAGGAGAAGAACCAAGAGGCAGCCAAGGAUCUAGAUUCAGGCUGCAGAAAAGUCUUGCUACUGCAGAGAUUACAGUUCGGGUCAGCUGAGUAGACCCUGGGUGUAGGGCGCAGAGCAUGACGGGAACGAGAGGUGAUUUCCGUAAGCAGGCUCCAAGGUGCCACCACCAAGCCCAGGAGUAUCUUUCCCACUUUGCCGACUUCC
RNAcentral lists this long non-coding RNA (338 nucleotides) under Gorilla gorilla gorilla (western lowland gorilla). Its description in RNAcentral is "lncRNA (ENSGGOG00000044517.1)". The record is from RNAcentral. Lineage: Eukaryota; Metazoa; Chordata; Mammalia; Primates; Hominidae.